UACAGAGGUCCCAAGCGUUGUUCGGAUUCACUGGGCGUAAAGGGUGCGUAGGCGGUCGGGUAAGUCUGAUGUGAAAUCUCACAGCUUAACUGUGAAACUGCAUUGGAUACUAUCCGGCUCGAGGAAUGGAGGGGAGACUGGAAUACUUGGUGUAGCAGUGAAAUGCGUAGAUAUCAAGUGGAACCCCCGUGGCGAAGGCGAGUCUCUGGACAUUUCCUGACGCUGAGGCACGAAAGCCAGGGGAGCAAACGGG
RNAcentral lists this ribosomal RNA (253 nucleotides) under uncultured bacterium. RNAcentral describes it as "partial 16S ribosomal RNA". It matches the Rfam family "Bacterial small subunit ribosomal RNA", at positions 524 to 776 of the family's 1533-position model. The record is from RNAcentral.